Molecule: small RNA, 477 nt
Filed under: Pongo abelii (Sumatran orangutan)
Lineage: Eukaryota; Metazoa; Chordata; Mammalia; Primates; Hominidae
Description: processed transcript
Source: RNAcentral
AGAAGCUCCUUCAGCUCAAAAAUUUUAACACCCUGAUGGCAGUGGUGGGAGGCCUCAGUCAUAGUUCCAUUUCACGCCUCAAAGAGACCCAUUCUCAUCUUUCUUCAGAAGUUACAAAGAACUGGAAUGAAAUGACAGAGUUGGUCUCCUCCAACGGCAAUUACUGCAAUUACCGCAAGGCCUUUGCCGACUGCGAUGGCUUCAAAAUCCCCAUCCUUGGAGUACACUUGAAAGACUUGAUAGCAGUCCAUGUCAUUUUCCCAGACUGGACAGAGGAGAAUAAAGUGAACAUUGUGAAAAUGCACCAGCUCUCCGUUACCCUGAGUGAACUAGUCUCCCUGCAGAAUGCCUCUCACCACUUAGAACCCAACAUGGAUUUGAUCAACCUGCUCACGGGAAUAUCUGGAGAGGACAUUUCCCUUACAUCUCAAUUCACGUAACCAGGAGUUUUAAAAGCCGACGCUUCUGUUGCUUGGG